RNAcentral lists this ribosomal RNA (489 nucleotides) under bacterium enrichment culture clone ALO1_GLFRUDD03FK7JD. RNAcentral's name for it is "bacterial SSU rRNA". It matches the Rfam family "Bacterial small subunit ribosomal RNA", at positions 9 to 491 of the family's 1533-position model. The record is from RNAcentral.
GAGUUUGAUCCUGGCUCCAGAUUGAACCGCUGGCGGCAGGCCUAACACAUGCAAGUCGAGCGGAUGACGGGAGCUUGCUCCUUGAUUCAGCGGCGGACGGGUGAGUAAUGCCUAGGAAUCUGCCUGGUAGUGGGGGCAACGUUUCGAAAGGAACGCUAAUACCGCAUACGUCCUACGGGAGAAAGCAGGGGACCUUCGGGCCUUGCGCUAUCAGAUGAGCCUAGGUCGGAUUAGCUAGUUGGUGGGGUAAUGGCUCACCAAGGCGACGAUCCGUAACUGGUCUGAGAGGAUGAUCAGUCACACUGGAACUGAGACACGGUCCAGACUCCUACGGGAGGCAGCAGUGGGGAAUAUUGGACAAUGGGCGAAAGCCUGAUCCAGCCAUGCCGCGUGUGUGAGGAAGGUCUUCGGAUUGUAAAAGCACUUUAAGUUGGGAGGAAGGGCAGUAAGUUAAUACCUUGCUGUUUUGACGUUACCGACAGAAUAAGC